GUUGGGAUAGCUCAGUUGGUAGAGCAGAGGACUGAAAAUCCU
Molecule: transfer RNA, 42 nt
Filed under: Papaver rhoeas (corn poppy)
Lineage: Eukaryota; Viridiplantae; Streptophyta; Magnoliopsida; Ranunculales; Papaveraceae
Also listed under: 3 other names
Description: partial tRNA-Phe
Rfam family: tRNA
About the family: Transfer RNA (tRNA) molecules are approximately 80 nucleotides in length. Their secondary structure includes four short double-helical elements and three loops (D, anti-codon, and T loops).
Source: RNAcentral